This 102-nucleotide transfer RNA is filed under the name Kutzneria sp. CA-103260. RNAcentral's name for it is "tRNA-Arg". The record is from RNAcentral. Lineage: Bacteria; Bacillati; Actinomycetota; Actinomycetes; Pseudonocardiales; Pseudonocardiaceae.
GCCGUUGAACAGCGCGGUCAGGUUGAGCGCCGGCUGGGUGCGGUCCAGCGGGAUGGUGGUGCCGGGCCGCAGCACCGCGUUCGGGUCGCCGACGUCGGUGCC